This 360-nucleotide long non-coding RNA is filed under the name Hordeum vulgare. RNAcentral's name for it is "long non-coding RNA (HVUL_LNC015549)". The record is from RNAcentral. Lineage: Eukaryota; Viridiplantae; Streptophyta; Magnoliopsida; Poales; Poaceae.
AAGCAAAGCAUGUUAGAGCCACCUCAGUCAGCCUUAGGCUGUGCCGAAAAAAGAUGUGUGUGUGCGUGUCUGUUUGUAAAUAUGUACUUUCAGAAGAAUGUUGUUUGUUCUGUUAACAUGUUACUUGUAGUGUCUUUUUGGUCGUAGAAGGAUGAUCACCAUUUGUUGAUGUUGGUAUAGGUCUCUUGUUAUGUCAUAUUGACUUAGUUUUUGGGUUCAAGAUAUGUAGCCUUGGUCGGUUAAAUGCAAGUAUUGCAACAGUCAUUGUUUUUAAUGUGAUGAUUCUAGUUAUGCUGUUUGGUUGCCUUAAGAUGAACCUUGCUAUCUUGAACUGAUGAUUAUAUUUGGUGUGUUUUAGUG